RNAcentral lists this ribosomal RNA (478 nucleotides) under uncultured bacterium. RNAcentral's name for it is "bacterial SSU rRNA". It matches the Rfam family "Bacterial small subunit ribosomal RNA", at positions 29 to 480 of the family's 1533-position model. The record is from RNAcentral.
AACUAACGCUGGCGGCGUGCCUAACACAUGCAAGUCGUACGAGAAAGCCGGCUUCGGCUGGUGAGUAAAGUGGCGCACGGGUGAGUAACGCGUGGAUAAUCUGCCCUUAAGUGUGGAAUAACGUACCGAAAGGUGCGCUAAUACCGCAUAAUGCCUGGGCAACACAAGUUGUCCGGCCAAAGAAGGCCUCUGUUUACAAGCUUUCGCUUCAGGAUGAGUCCGCGUACCAUUAGCUUGUUGGUGGGGUAAUGGCCUACCAAGGCUGCGAUGGUUAGCUGGUCUGAGAGGAUGAUCAGCCACACUGGAACUGAGACACGGUCCAGACUCCUACGGGAGGCAGCAGUGAGGAAUAUUGCGCAAUGGGGGCAACCCUGACGCAGCAACGCCGCGUGAGUGAGGAAGGUUUUCGGACGUGUAAAGCUCUGUCGAGCGGGAAGAAGUGUACCAUGGCUAAUAUCCAUGAUAUUUGACGGUACCG